AAUGAACGCUGGCGGCGUGCCUAACACAUGCAAGUCGUACGAGAAAGGGGCUUCGGCCCUGAGUAGAGUGGCGCACGGGUGAGUAACGCGUGGGUAAUCUACCCUUGGAUUUGGGAUAACUCUGCGAAAGUGGAGCUAAUACCGGAUAGUCUGGCUUUAAAUAAGAAGUCGGUAAAGGAUGCCUCUGCAUAUGCAUUCGUCCGAGGAUGAGCCCGCGUCUCAUUAGCUAGUUGGUAGGGUAAUGGCCUACCAAGGCAACGAUGAGUAGCUGGUCUGAGAGGAUGAUCAGCCACACUGGAACUGAAACACGGUCCAGACUCCUACGGGAGGCAGCAGUGGGGAAUAUUGCGCAAUGGGCGAAAGCCUGACGCAGCAACGCCGUGUGAGGGAUGAAGGCUUUCGGGUCGUAAACCUCUGUCGGAAGGGAA
Molecule: ribosomal RNA, 428 nt
Filed under: uncultured bacterium
Lineage: Bacteria
Description: bacterial SSU rRNA
Rfam family: Bacterial small subunit ribosomal RNA
Source: RNAcentral